RNAcentral lists this ribosomal RNA (253 nucleotides) under uncultured bacterium. RNAcentral's name for it is "partial 16S ribosomal RNA". It matches the Rfam family "Bacterial small subunit ribosomal RNA", at positions 524 to 776 of the family's 1533-position model. The record is from RNAcentral.
UACAGAGGGUGCAAGCGUUGUUCGGAAUUACUGGGCGUAAAGAGUGUGUAGGCGGUGCUCUAAGUUUGGUGUGAAAUCUCCCGGCUCAACUGGGAGGGUGCGCCGAAAACUGGAAUGCUUGAACAUGGGAGAGGAAAGCGGAAUUCCUGGUGUAGCGGUGAAAUGCGUAGAUAUCAGGAGGAACACCUGCGGUGUAGACGGCUUUCUGGACCAUUGUUGACGCUGAGACACGAAAGCGUGGGUAGCAAACAGG